Long non-coding RNA from Strigops habroptila (Kakapo), 2540 nucleotides. RefSeq lists it as uncharacterized. The transcript has 2 exons. NCBI's taxonomy places the organism in Eukaryota, Metazoa, Chordata, Aves, Psittaciformes, Psittacidae. The record is from RefSeq and is a predicted model, not a curated record.
CCUAUGAUACCAACCCUCCCUUUAUGAUUUGUCACUGUUCCCAUCAGCGAACCCUUAGGUUGUUCUUGGUUUUUUAAAGGUGUUUUUAAUAUUACUGGCAAUGAGUUAUGUGAAGAACUACUUCCAAAGGAAAAAUGAAUCUGCCUGUGUGUGCAAGAGGUUAUUCAAAAGGUUAAUAAUGAUUCUCUGGUCUUAAGCAAAUCCAUAAAAACAACUUUUUUGGACUUUAAUCCUGAUGAAGGAAAACGAGAUGUCCUCCUUUGGUCUUUGAGAGCUGCUAAGUUACCCUUAAUUCUGCUGGGCUGCAGAGACAUGGAAGGCUGUAUGCUUGAAGAUCUCUUGUCACUUAGGCAUGAAGAAUCUGUGUUCCGUGGUACAAAGUAUCCAUUGUGUUCAGGGGUCUACUGACCACUCUCCUGCCCCUUGCUCUUGCCAGAAAGCCCAUCAAGUCUUUCUGAGCCUCUGAGGUUUCAUGACUGCUGUUUGUUGUUGGGCUUUGUUCUGUAGCUGUGUUCCAGCCUUGCAGUCAGCAGUUAGGCUGGUGCUUUACUGAAUCAGUUGUGCUUUUUUUAAGCCUUUAGCCUGUCUUAUGUUGGGUAUAAACCUGGAUAAAAGGUAUAAAUGACAAAUCUGAUGGGAGCUAUAUCCCAACAGGGUUCUAGAGCUUAAAAUUUCUCCCGUUUGCUUUGAGGUCUGCAUGGGGGCCAGCUGCACCAUGUACUGGCAGCUGAGAGAUUACUGGCAGACACAGGCUUGUUCCUCUCAUGUAAAGCACUGAUGGUGGAAAGACACUGUUGCUCUGGGUUAACCUCGAACCAUCACACUAAUGUUUCAUGAAAAUGUGUGACAAGAAUAAAUUCUAAAUGUUUUAGAUGCACUUGAACCUGACUGAACAUCUGUAUAUUAUCAACAUACUUCGUCCCUAUGGAGCAAGGCAAUAGAUACAUUAAGCAUAGUAACUGGCCAGAAUGGGUAUAACAAUGGGAAGGGGAUUAGAGGCACAUGAACAGGUGAGUGGAAGGUAUCAGUGGCAUAUGUACCCUGAUAUGUGUUGCUUAAAGUAAAGGUGAGAGCUGAGAGAUUUAAGGUCACAUUGGUUUCUGACUGCAAUAUCAACCAGUUGGUUUUUGCUGGUGAGCGGGUCAUGAUACAAUGUCCUGUCGCUGGCUGUUUGGUGGUGACAAAGGCAGUUCUGUGCAUCUGCCUUUCCUCUUCUCAAGUCAUAUGCUGUUUCCUGUAUUUUUCAGAGUCUAAAGGAGGGAGUAAAGGCAAGAAACAAAUGUCUUUGUAGAGUAAUUCCCUACACCAUCACCCUUGCUGCACUUUUUAGACCUCAUUGGGAUGCAGUGCAUGGUCUGGUCUGAGAGACCAGCUGUGUGAAGCUGAGGUUCCACUUCAAGUAACUGAAGUGCAGGCUGCUGCUAAAAACAGCAACACCUUUUCCUUCCUCUACUUUUCCACAACUUCCCUUGUGCCUGGCCAAGGUCCUGUGUGACCAUCACAAAGCAGUCUCGAAACCAGACCAUCAAUCACUAUGUGAAGCUCUUCAGUGCUUCUUGAUUCUGCUUGUCUCUCCACUGUGCUUUUCUACUUCAGUUGGAGCCUUCAGGCACCCUUACUCACAAUAUUCUGACAAAGGUGGCUUCCUAGGCUUGCUCCCAUGCAGCCAGGAAACUUGUGGUUGAGUUGGGGUUGAAUGUGUGUAGCAGCAAAUCUUACAAAGCUGUGAUGUCCUUUAGACUUCUCACAUUGGCAGGCCAGUGCUGUUCUGGGUGUCUGUGCUGACAGACAGAUUCCUUCUGAGCUCAGAGCAUUUGGCCUUGGCCAGAUCGCUGAGUUGGAGCAGAGUCAGGACACUGGGAGACACACGGUCUGUUGGGUCGGGUGGUUGCCAUCUGGAGUGGCAGUACUUGGCCCACUGCAGCAGUGGCUCUCCUCUGAUACCAGGAGUUCCUAUUUCUCACAUCUCCUUUUACAGACAGUUUGGCCCUUCUGUCUCUUGAAUGUAACAAAAUUCAGUAUUUCCACCAGGAGGUAAUGAAGGAACCAGCUUUGUCCUUGGAUUUUGAGACUACUUGGAUCCUUUUGAUCCCUUCAAGGUAGAGUCCCUUACACCUACUUACACUAACAGAAUGCUGUGUUUGCUGCCAGUGCAAGAGUUUAAUUUUAUUUCUGUGUUACAGAGGAGGGCUGUAAGGAGACACUGACUUUUGUGUCCAUUGCUGGAUACAGCAUCAUGUGGUUGAAAUCACCUGGAGCAUAAGCUAGCAGUCUACUAUGGAGACCAACUCCUGAAGCUGGUGAAGACAGUGCAGAACAUCACAUGGCGUUUAUUGGGAAAUGUUUAGAACGUGACUUCUUCCCAGAAUGUUCAGACAAGGCUCUGAGUUAGCACUGCAUGCUGUUGUUGAAAAGCUGAGUCAGCUAAAACCAGCUUGGCAAAACAUAUUGCUUGUUGAAAAAUGUUCUGGCUUAUGCAGUAUUACCAAUGUGAAUGUGUAAGGGGAGGGUUUAAUAAAGUUUUGUGGCUUUUUCCAGAA